GCAUUUUCCUCUCGUUCAGAAAUAAUAAAAAAAUCUUAUUGGCUUAUGAAAGUGGAAUUUCUAGAGGCACACUGAUGUAACCUCUGAUUAGGCAUUAAGAUGAAUUUGUAGACAAAGAAAGACUUAUUUUUGUAUCCAAUGGUACUAGCUCACAAGUCUUGGAAGGAAGACUUAUUUGUGCCUGCCCCUUCUUUGUCACCGGGGCUCUGCUAUGAUUGGAACUUGCAAUUUGCUUUUGAAGGAUAUGAAAAUUUAACAGAAAAUUUCACAAGUGCUAACUACAAAUGAAGUUUCACCUCAUCUGACUUCGAUUAUUUUGUGUUCAGGAUUGGAGAGGAGCAAUUAG
This 346-nucleotide unclassified non-coding RNA is filed under the name Hevea brasiliensis (rubber tree). The record is from RNAcentral. Lineage: Eukaryota; Viridiplantae; Streptophyta; Magnoliopsida; Malpighiales; Euphorbiaceae.